GGUAUAUAUCCUUACUCCCAGUGCCCCUUUUGCUGCUCAGGUUUUCUAUGCUGGAACACCCAGAUUCAGCACGACUUAGAAGGGUAUUCCGUGAAGGGUUGUAAGAAAAGAAGAAAUCUCAAAAUUCUGUUUGACUUAUCUUUUCCUCCUUUGUUUUUGGUGUCAUCCUGGUGAAACCUGGGAGAAAAGGGCAUGCCAAAGGCCCUUCCAGACAGAAGUAGGCAUCUGCCAACGAAAUCUAUAAGAACAAUCUGAGAAGUGAUGCUUGUGCGGAUUAUUGAUUUUUUGCCUUUCGGCUUCAAAUUCACCCUUUUUUACUGCACUGUGAAAAUGGAUCUGGGCCUUUUAAAUAGGUUUUUCUUUGCCUUCUGGGACUGAAGCUUUGUCAGUAGAGGGCGCUGAAGAGAUAUUACAGGAAGAAAAGAACUCUGUGCUUCCUGAUUUUGGUGUAUUGGUAGGCAGGUUCUUGCUGCAUACCUAGGUUUCCUCAGCUCUGAACUCCUGUAUGGCUUGGUGGCCAGAACAGUUUUAUAGUGUGAGACACUACUCCAUAAAUAGCUUCCCUGGCACCCGGGAGGAAAUUUGCAUCAAGUUCCAGAAGGCAUAUUUUCAACAAGUUUUGCAGACUUAGCACCAUAGUGACUUCUCUACUAUUCAAUUAGCCAGCCUUUGACUCUCCAAAUAAAGUCUAGAUCUUAGUUGUAGGAGGGACAGGGGAUCUUCCUUAGCCCCUCUAUCACUCAGCCCAAGGAUUAGUUAUGAGGUUAGCUCCCUGGUAGCUACUAUGUCUAUAUUUUCUAGGUUUCUUUUUUUUAUAUGUAUACAUAUUUUAGUUGUAGAUGGACAUAAUGCCUUUAUUUUAUCUUUGUGUGGUGCUGAGGAUGGAACCCAGUGCCUUCCACAUGCAAGGCAAGCACUCUACAACUGAGCCACAAUCCCAGCCCCUCUCUAAGGCUCUUUUUACUAGUGAAUCCCUCAUUAAUCAAAUCUCCUAUUAUAGUUAAUAAUUAUUUUUAUCAAGACUUUCCUGUCUAGGAAAUAGGCCACAUGAGAUAGACCUGCAAAGAUGAACUUGAGCUCCUUGCCAAAGAGAGGUGGAAUCUAGUCAUUCAUGGCAUGCAGAGCAUCUCAAUUAAGUAAUCACCUAUGGUUUAUUCUGAUGAAGUGCCAACUAAAGCAAGAAGCUUGGGGACCAAGUACCAGCUACAUUUGACAGCUGGGGCUAUAAAGGUGAUUAUCAGGACUAUGGUACAGAAAGAUUCUUUUGAGUGCUUCUGAAUACUUAUAAACAGAAAUGACAAGCACAGAUGCAUUAUUAACACUUGGAGUUAUGGUGUAAGAACCAAAAAGAUUUUAUAGAAAUUCUGAAAUAUGGGGCUGGGGAUGUGGCUCAAGCGGUAACGUGCCCAACUGGCAUGUGCCGGGCACUGGGUUCAAUCCUCAGCACCACAUAAAAAUAAAAUAAAGAUGUUGUGUCCACUGAAAACUGAAAAAUAAAUAUUAAAAAGUUCUCU
This 1514-nucleotide long non-coding RNA is filed under the name Marmota monax (woodchuck). The record is from RNAcentral. Lineage: Eukaryota; Metazoa; Chordata; Mammalia; Rodentia; Sciuridae.